AGGGAGGGUCUCUAGUUAAAUUGACCAUGGAACCCCUCACAGGACAGAGACAGCCUCCAUGAAACAGAUAACUAGACAGACUGGGACUGAAGCAUGUUGAUUCAGCACAGCUGUUAUCACGGUACACUGAUCCACUGAGGCAGAGACAUAGAGACAUGAUGCGACAGGCACAGCUCUGCUUGCUAUCAGGUGAGAGAUCGAGUUCAGGAGAGAGAGAGAGCCGCCUGUCGCCAGAGGGGAGAGAGAGAGAGCCGCCUGUCGCCAGAGGGGAGAGAGAGAGAGCCGCCUGUCGCCAGAGGGGAGAGAGAGAGAGCCGCCUGUCGCCAGAGGGGAGAGAGAGAGAGCCGCCUGUCGCCAGAGGGGAGAGAGAGAGAGCCGCCUGUCGCCAGAGGGGAGAGAGAGAGAGCCGCCUGUCGCCAGAGGGGAGAGAGAGAGAGAGCCGCCUGUCGCCAGAGGGGAGAGAGAGAGAGCCGCCUGUCGCCAGAGGGGAGAGAGAGAGAGCCGCCUGUCGCCAGAGGGGAGAGAGAGAGAGCCGCCUGUCGCCAGAGGGGAGAGAGAGAGAGCCGCCUGUCGCCAGAGGGGAGAGAGAGAGAGCCGCCUGUCGCCAGAGGGGAGAGAGAGAGAGCCGCCUGUCGCCAGAGGGGAGAGAGAGAGAGCCGCCUGUCGCCAGAGGGGAGAGAGAGAGAGCCGCCUGUCGCCAGAGGGGAGAGAGAGAGAGCCGCCUGUCGCCAGAGGGGAGAGAGAGAGAGCCGCCUGUCGCCAGAGGGGAGAGAGAGAGAGCCGCCUGUCGCCAGAGGGGAGAGAGAGAGAGCCGCCUGUCGCCAGAGGGGAGAGAGAGAGAGCCGCCUGUCGCCAGAGGGGAGAGAGAGAGAGCCGCCUGUCGCCAGAGGGGAGAGAGAGAGAGCCGCCUGUCGCCAGAGGGGGAGAGAGAGAGAGCCGCCUGUCGCCAGAGGGGAGAGAGAGAGAGCCGCCUGUCGCCAGAGGGAGAGAGAGAGAGCCGCCUGUCGCCAGAGGAGAGAGAGAGAGCCGCCUGUCGCCAGAGGAGAGGAGAGAGCCGCCUGUCGCCAGAGGAGAGGAGAGAGCCGCCUGUCGCCAGAGGAGAGGAGAGAGCCGCCUGUCGCCAGAGGAGAGGAGAGAGCCGCCUGUCGCCAGAGGAGAGGAGAGAGCCGCCUGUCGCCAGAGGAGAGGAGAGAGCCGCCUGUCGCCAGAGGAGAGGAGAGAGCCGCCUGUCGCCAGAGGAGAGAGCCGCCUGUCAUCAGAGGAGAGAGCCGCCUGUCAUCAGAGGAGAGAGCCGCCUGUCAUCAGGAGGAGAGAGCCGUUUGUUAUCAGGAGGAGAGAGACGUUUGUUAUCAGGUGAGUUAGAGGAGAGGAGGAGAGAGAGCUGCA
This 1386-nucleotide long non-coding RNA is filed under the name Salmo trutta (river trout). Its description in RNAcentral is "lncRNA (ENSSTUG00000023568.1)". Lineage: Eukaryota; Metazoa; Chordata; Actinopteri; Salmoniformes; Salmonidae. The record is from RNAcentral.